This is a long non-coding RNA of Oncorhynchus tshawytscha (Chinook salmon), 807 nucleotides long. RefSeq lists it as uncharacterized. Lineage: Eukaryota; Metazoa; Chordata; Actinopteri; Salmoniformes; Salmonidae. The transcript is spliced from 2 exons. The record is from RefSeq and is a predicted model, not a curated record.
GCUCACAGCUGUACCUAAAGGUAAAACUACCAGAAACAAGCCAAGCUCACAGCUGUACCUAAAGGUAAAACUACCAGAAACAAGCCAAGCUCACAGCUGUACCUAAAGGUAAGACUACUAGAAACAAGCCAAGCUCACAGCUGUACCUAAAGGUAAGACUACUAGUAACAAGCCAAGCUCACAGCUGUACCUAAAGGUAAGACUACCAGUAACAAGCCAAGCUCACAGCUGUACCUAAAGGUAAAACUACCAGAAACAAGCCAAGCUCACAGCUGUACCUAAAGGUAAGACUACUAGUAACAAGCCAAGCUCACAGCUGUACCUAAAACUACCAGAAACAAGCCAAGCUCACAGCUGUACCUAAAGGUAAAACUACUAGUAACAAGCCAAGCUCAGAGCUGUACCUAAAGGUAAAACUACCAGAAACAAGCCAAGCUCACAGCUGUACCUAAAGGUAAGACUACUAGUAACAAGCCAAGCUCACAGCUGUACCUAAAGGUAAAACUACCAGAAACAAGCCAAGCUCACAGCUGUACCUAAAGGUAAGACUACUAGUAACAAGCCAAGCUCACAGCUGUACCUAAAGGUAAGACUACCAGAAACAAGCCAAGCUCACAGCUGUACCUAAAGGUAAGACUACUAGUAACAAGCCAAGCUCACAGCUGUACCUAAAGGUAAGACUACUAGUAACAAGCCAAGCUCACAGCUGUACCUAAAGGUAAAACUACCAGAAACAAGCCAAGCUCACAGCUGUACCUAAAGGUAAGACUACUAGUAACAAGCCAAGCUCACAGCUGUACCUAAAGG